CCUAAGUGGGUGGUAAACUCCAUCUAAGGCUAAAUAUGACCACGAGACCGAUAGCGAACAAGUACCGUGAGGGAAAGUUGAAAAGCACUUUGAAGAGAGAGUUCAAGAGUACGUGAAACCGUUUAGGGGUAAACCUGAGAAACCCGAAAGGUCGAAGGGAGAAAUUCAUUCGCGUUUCGUUGACGGCGUUGUUCGUUUCAGCGACGGGGGCGUGCUUGCACGUUUCCCGCGCGUUUCGUUCAACGAGCCGAUGACGAACGCGUGCACUUUUCUCCUGGUAGGACGUCGCGAUCCGUCGGGUGUCGAUCUAAGGUCCGCGGUGGAGCCCGUCGGCGGCGUUUCGGCGCUCGUUAACGGACCCGUGARAUCCGGUCGACUCGCUCGACGGUAUACGAACGGUUAGGGGCCGCUCCUAUGAGCGUUCGACCGAUGGCAAGCGCGCCGGACAUGUUGGCGAUCGGACCUAGUGCCGAUUCUGACAUCCGGUGACUGUUAGCUGUCGAGUUCUCGAACAGACCUCUUAAGACCGAUCUGCGACGCUAUAGCUUUGGGUAAUUUCAGGA
This 563-nucleotide ribosomal RNA is filed under the name Pityophthorus juglandis. Its description in RNAcentral is "eukaryotic LSU rRNA". It matches the Rfam family "Eukaryotic large subunit ribosomal RNA", at positions 287 to 647 of the family's 3401-position model. Lineage: Eukaryota; Metazoa; Arthropoda; Insecta; Coleoptera; Curculionidae. The record is from RNAcentral.